UUGAUUUUUUUAAAAACCUUAUACAUUAUUAACACCCUUCAUGCUUCAUCAAUUUACUGAGGUGGAUUCUACCCCCUCCUCCUCUUUCUCUUCCAAUUUCAAUGAGACAAAAUCCAAUAAACAUUGUGUUUGUUCCUGGCAUCUACGAUUGUUUUAAUCCAACAUAUUAACAGCCAGUGCCACAUAUGAAAUUCAACAGGGAGCCCCUUCAAGCUCACAAUAAGAGGAAGAGUGAGUAAGAGGAAAAUCAAGCAUCGAGCGCCCUGCCCAUCUAAGUCACUCAUAAAAGAACCCCAUGGUGUGGGCUUGAGAGGUCGAACAGACAGCGCUAGUGUGGCUAACUGGGGUGCGGGGGGAAAAAAAGCACAAGAGUUUUCAUAUCCGCUCAGAUUUACGGUACUUGGAAGAAGGGUGAAAUAACGACAGUGUUGUCAAGGAAACAAGUGCCACGGCAACACCUUAAUCUGGAGAAAUAUAAUUGGAAAAGGAGUGAUAAACAUCUUCCUAUCUGAGUGUGUGAUGUAGUGAACGGUAUUCGAAAAGGAAGCCGCCUGAGCACUCAUUACUGGAGUUAUUGUAAGAAUAACACUAAUGAAUGCAUAUGGAAAGGCGUCCUCGGGGGCUAAAAGAAGGAACUCUGAUGUUGAAACAGCCUUAAAGGGCUUUCUUCCAGGAUAAAGUCACGACCCAUCCUACUCCACCCACAAACACCGUAGAGAGGAAGACUCGCUCUCUAGUGGAAGGCAAUGCAUAUAAAUGGAGCUUCUCCUUUAAAGAGGCGGUAAGGAAGAAGAUCACCUUUGAUAUCAAAGCUCAGUUGGACAACAAAGCAGGCCUUUAAAGCACAGAGCUGCUUUCUUCACGUGCCUGUGUGCAAAGGUGGAAAUCUGGGCAGAGUGGAAGAUGAAGUAAUGGGAGAGGGAUGGAUAGAAGGAUGGACAGAGGGAUGGAUAGAGGGAUGGAUAGAUGAAGAGGAAUGACAAAGGGGAGGGAGAUCAUACGCUAUACCUGCAGCCCUUAUGGGUGUGCAGGUAUAGCAUACGGGGGGUGGGGAGGCAAAGAAGUGUGGCGGGAAGAGGAAGGCUGGAUGGUGAGAUGGGGGGAUGACUGGAUGGAUAGAUGGAAGUGGAGAGGAGAGGAGAGGAGCGAGAAUGCUUCAGUAGCUCCACUUGACAGCUGAGUGAGAGGGGAAGCGGAGUGGCUACUCUAUGUAAUUUGUUAGCGGGUCCAUGAUGCAUGCAGGCAUGAUACCACACCAUGCCUGGCGAACACAGCACAGACUAGAGAGAGAGGGAGAGCGAGACCGACAGACAGCAGAGAGGAAGGAGGGAGGAAAGGGUUUGACAGAUCAGGGUACAUCAAGGAAAAGAUCAGGUGUGGAAAGAAGAGGGGCUAAAUAUGGAGAACUGCACCCAGCCUCAGUGUUUUCAACCUCUGUCAGCUGGGUGAGACUGACCGGCAUCCCUGUCUUCUGUCUAAGGCAGGGUUUGCUUUUGCAUAACGGCAUCUCUAUCUUUGCAACAAUGUUUGAAAUCAUUGUCUCUGCGCUAUCUCAGCAGCAGCUCCUUCUCCCGUGUUGCAACGCAGGUGCAUCUCAUCUCUGCACGAGCCGCUCCGGAUGCUUCGCAGACACAAUUUUCCUGGGCUUAUCUGUGACUCUGAAUAAAAUGACACAAAUCUGGGCAUCAGCCCACUAAUAAUGACGCCACGUUGAUGUGGGACCUAUUUUGUGUGUGUUUGUGUGUGCGCGCGCAUCAGAGUGUGUUUACGGCUUGUUGACGUGGGACUGAUCCAGGAUGCCAUGGCAGCUGUCUGCUAUAAUUACCUGGGAGCACGAUCACACAUAGGCAAAUGCACCCAUACGCACACACACACAGGUAUAUCUCUGCUGAUUACCUCAUAAGGCGAGGUUUGUCUGAUUAGCUUCCAUAUUUACACCAAAGACUUGUUAUUAAUGAACAUGUGCUCUGCGUUUCGCUCCACUAUACUUUGUUACUCUGAACAUUUGGAAGGCAAUCUUUGACAAUGUUUGAGGAGCAUCACUGAUUAGACUACAAAGACCUGUUUUGAUUGAGAAAAACUGUUUGCUGCAUGUUUAUCAUUUUCAAUUUGAGUAUGAGGCUUUAUGGCUGUUUGUCACACAGGAAAAUGGGGAGUGAACGGAGGGCGCCCGGCAUGCCACCGCAGACACCUCGGAGGAACACUGACAUUAGCAGACAUUAUUUCUGGGGGGCAUGUCUACGAGACUGAAUGGCUCCAUCAAGCGAACACGGUCUGCAGUCUGACACACGGACACACGAACACAAGGUGCAAUCCCACCCACGGUUCCUAGCCCACACCUUUUUUCUGCCCGAUAUUUGCAUAAUGAAAUGCACUGUUAUUUAUGUGUCAUCAGAGAUUGCAGGACCUGAAAAUGAAGUGCUCGUUAGCUGCGUAGAUCUCUAAAUAGAUCAUCAGGUGCCCACUAUAAUGGCUGGCAUACUACAAUGAAGCCUUUUUUCCAUUCACCUCCCUUGAAUUCUAUCCAUUUGGGAGGGAAAAAAAACAUCACAUUGUGCUGAUACACAUGCAUUUAAUAGUACUGCAGCACCAUUUGUUUCAUAAGAGAAUGACAAAGAAUGACGCAGUUCCGGGAUACAGAUUGGAAAAAUUUACAUUAAAAGAAGAGACGGGAGGUGGACGAAUUCAGGGAACAAAGGAGUUCUUAAAAGGAAAAAAAGAGGGCAAAGUGCAACAGAGCAAGACGGAAAGGAGCUGAGCGGCGUAAAAUGUUGCCCGGGGGGGUGGCAUGGGGGGACGGUGGCUAGCAAGGCAGAGGUGAUGGGGCUGCUCUGUUUUCUCCAGUCAUGCCUGUCCACGUUCCCUGGAAAGCCUGUUUUCCAAAUCACAGUGGGGUCAGGUGUGGAAUGCAAAUGGCAGGCUGCCGCUACCUGCGUGUACACCGAGACCUCGAG
Long non-coding RNA from Oreochromis niloticus (Nile tilapia), 2954 nucleotides. RefSeq lists it as uncharacterized. NCBI's taxonomy places the organism in Eukaryota, Metazoa, Chordata, Actinopteri, Cichliformes, Cichlidae. The record is from RefSeq and is a predicted model, not a curated record. The transcript has 3 exons.